RNAcentral lists this ribosomal RNA (422 nucleotides) under uncultured bacterium. RNAcentral's name for it is "bacterial SSU rRNA". It matches the Rfam family "Bacterial small subunit ribosomal RNA", at positions 40 to 507 of the family's 1533-position model. The record is from RNAcentral.
CGGCGUGCUUAACACAUGCAAAUCGAGUGGCGAACGGGUGAGUAACGCGUGAGGAACCUGCCUCAAAGAGGGGGACAACAGUUGGAAACGGCUGCUAAUACCGCAUAAGCCCACGGCUCGGCAUCGAGCAGAGGGAAAAGGAGCAAUCCGCUUUGAGAUGGCCUCGCGUCCGAUUAGCUAGUUGGUGAGGUAACGGCCCACCAAGGCGACGAUCGGUAGCCGGACUGAGAGGUUGAACGGCCACAUUGGGACUGAGACACGGCCCAGACUCCUACGGGAGGCAGCAGUGGGGAAUAUUGCACAAUGGGGGAAACCCUGAUGCAGCGACGCCGCGUGGAGGAAGAAGGUCUUCGGAUUGUAAACUCCUGUUGUUGAGGAAGAUAAUGACGGUACUCAACAAGGAAGUGACGGCUAACUACGUG